GAUGAACGCUGGCGGCGUGCCUAAUACAUGCAAGUCGAGCGAACAGACGAGGAGCUUGCUCCUCUGACGUUAGCGGCGGACGGGUGAGUAACACGUGGAUAACCUACCUAUAAGACUGGGAUAACUUCGUGAAACCGGAGCUAAUACCGGAUAAUAUAUUGAACCGCAUGGUUCAAUAGUGAAAGACGGUUUUGCUGUCACUUAUAGAUUGAUCCGCGCCGCAUUAGCUAGUUGGUAAGGUAACGGCUUACCAAGGCAACGAUGCGUAGCCGACCUGAGAGGGUGAUCGGCCACACUGGAACUGAGACACGGUCCAGACUCCUACGGGAGGCAGCAGUAGGGAAUCUUCCGCAAUGGGCGAAAGCUUGACGGAGCAACGCCGCGUGAGUGAUGAAGGUCUUCGGAUCGUAAAACUCUGUUAUUAGGGAAGAACAAAUGUGUAAGUAACUAUGCACGUCUUGACGGUACCUAAUCAGAAAGCCACGGCUAACUACGUG
RNAcentral lists this ribosomal RNA (497 nucleotides) under uncultured bacterium. RNAcentral's name for it is "partial 16S ribosomal RNA". It matches the Rfam family "Bacterial small subunit ribosomal RNA", at positions 28 to 507 of the family's 1533-position model. The record is from RNAcentral.